This 1336-nucleotide long non-coding RNA is filed under the name Anser cygnoides (Swan goose). RNAcentral describes it as "lncRNA (ENSACDG00005007428.1)". Lineage: Eukaryota; Metazoa; Chordata; Aves; Anseriformes; Anatidae. The record is from RNAcentral.
AAUUAAAUAGCUUAAGUGAAAAUGCUUAAUCAAAAUAAAAUAUUUACAUUUAUUUCUGUAGAGGUGACAGCAAAAGAGAAAUGCCAGCCAGUUUACCUGUCUGCUCCUCCUCUAACUAGUUUCAGAUUUAUUAAGCAUCUGGGAGGAAGAGAACAGGAGUUGUAUGAGGACUGAGCUAGCAGUGGCAAUGAUUGCAAUAAUGCAAGAAUUUCUUUAUGUCUUUCUUUUUAUGUUGUGUUGUCCCAACACCUGACAUGAAUGGAGCUGAUGGAUAUUUUUCUACUGGCUUUUACCUUAGAGGAAACAAAUCUACUGACAAGAGAAGCUCAAGGAAGACUUUUGAAGCAAUGUGAUUAGGCUUUUUAUCCUGACUUGUGUCACAGUUUGAACUUCAUACUUCUUGAUUUCUAAUGCAGCUUUCAACAACAAAAGGGAGAGAACACCUAAGGUAGUUUGGGAAUGCCAGUAAAUGUGGAAAUUAUGGAAAUGGCAUCCACUGAAGUUUGAAAAGCAGAAUAAGAUAUCACACCUCUGUAAAGCACCAUCAAGGGAAGAGACUCCUGGGCAAGACAUGCUCCACAAGCCUAAACUAGAAAGUAUCAUGAAGCUGAUAACAUGCAUUCAUUAGCUUCUAACUGGAAAUUUUGGAGGCCUAUUUUCCUGUUAUGUUAUCAACAUCCCACUGCAAGGAUGAAUGAAGUGAUAUAUCUGGCUCGUGGACCAAGACAUGAAGAGUGUUUUCCCUUGCUCUUAACAGAUGCCAGCAGCAGCACACAGCUGAACUGACUCUUCCAAAAGUUAAUCCCUUUUGAACAUGGCUGCUGAUAUGUUCAUACCUCAUGCUUAUAUGUCUUGGCUUUUAGUUUUACGUAUUGAAUUGCUCGGAGAAGGUCAAUAUGUACAGCAACAAAAUUCCCACUGACUACAUGAGUCCAGCUGCUCCUGCCCCAUAUUUCCAUCAGAUUCCCACCUCUGUCUGAAUAUAGCAAUGAUAUAAUUGGAUUGCACAAGAGCAAAGCUGACUGUUUUAAGGCCAGGUGGUAGAAAUAUUUUGCUUUGAGCAUAUUUAUUUCUUCAGUGUAUUUUACAGACAUUCUAACACAUUGCUCUGUUUUAGGUAAGAAUUAAAGCCAAGCUGCUUAACCCAGGGCUUUUGCAGCACUAGGUCAGACAACAGUAUAUUGCUUUACAUAAGUUUACCACUGUUGUUAACCUGUACAUCCUAAUGUGUGGCCUGUGUACAGUGCUAUGUCUAAGUAUGCAUGUGGACAAAUCUUUUGUAUGCAUGUAUUUAAUAUCUUGGAGAAGGGACAGAACUAAGCAAAGCUUAUAAAAA